This 342-nucleotide ribosomal RNA is filed under the name uncultured bacterium. RNAcentral's name for it is "partial 16S ribosomal RNA". It matches the Rfam family "Bacterial small subunit ribosomal RNA", at positions 108 to 457 of the family's 1533-position model. The record is from RNAcentral.
AAAAAAAAAAUCGGAAUCUACUUUUUCGUGGGGGAUAACGUAGGGAAACUUACGCUAAUACCGCAUACGACCUACGGGUGAAAGCAGUGGAUCUUCGGACCUUUCGCGAUUGAAUGAGCCGAUGUCGGAUUAGCUAGUUGGCGGGGUAAAGGCCCACCAAGGCGACGAUCCGUAGCUGGUCUGAGAGGCUGAUCAGCAACACUGGAACUGAGACACGGUCUAGAGUACUAAGGGAGGCAGCAGUGGGGAAUAUUGGACAAUGGGCGAAAGCCUGAUCAAGCAAUACCGCGUGGUUUAUUUAGUUUUUCGGGUUUGCGACCCCCUCCGUGAUCUACACUCGUU